Molecule: ribosomal RNA, 427 nt
Filed under: uncultured bacterium
Lineage: Bacteria
Description: bacterial SSU rRNA
Rfam family: Bacterial small subunit ribosomal RNA
Source: RNAcentral
UGGGGAAUCUUGGACAAUGGGCGAAAGCCUGAUCCAGCAACGCCGCGUGAGUGAUGAAGGCCUUCGGGUUGUAAAGCUCUGUCGGUUGGAACGAAUAAGGGUCACCUAAUACGUGACCCGAUGACGGUACCAGCAAAGGAAGCACCGGCUAACUCUGUGCCAGCAGCCGCGGUAAGACAGAGGGUGCAAGCGUUGUUCGGAAUUACUGGGCGUAAAGGGCGUGUAGGCGGUGGGGUGUGUCUGACGUGAAAGCCCUCGGCUCAACCGAGGAAAUGCGUCGGAAACUACCUCGCUGGAGUGCGAGAGAGGGUGGCGGAAUUCCCAGUGUAGAGGUGAAAUUCGUAGAUACUGGGAGGAACACCGGAGGCGAAGGCGGCCACCUGGCUCGUAACUGACGCUGAGACGCGAAAGCGUGGGGAGCAAACAG